Molecule: non-coding RNA, 29 nt
Filed under: Mus musculus (house mouse)
Lineage: Eukaryota; Metazoa; Chordata; Mammalia; Rodentia; Muridae
Source: RNAcentral
UNGUUUUACAUAGGUCCCUUGUCCAGCUC